Molecule: long non-coding RNA, 1488 nt
Filed under: Citrus maxima (pomelo)
Lineage: Eukaryota; Viridiplantae; Streptophyta; Magnoliopsida; Sapindales; Rutaceae
Description: long non-coding RNA (CMAX_LNC003737)
Source: RNAcentral
ACAUGAUAGACAUUAUGCAUUACGUAUGUAAUCAUGCCACAUAGAAGCUGCAAUUUCAUCUCUUGUAGCAUUCAUCUCUGCGACACUUGCUGGAGAUAAAUCAAUAUUAGUAAGUGGCCUACUAGUGUCUCAUUCGUUGAUAACCAAAUCUUGCACAUCAAAGUCCCCAAAUAACGUAUCACUUGCAUUUUCUUGUCGAAUAAAAUUAUGUAAAGUGCAACAUGCAAUUGGAAUGAGACGUUGCUUAUGUAAACUAUAAUUAUGCAUACGUUGAUAAUUUGAUUAAUGGAUUAUAAUACAACAGAUUUGUUAUAAUCAAAUCUAUGCAUUUUCUCAUUUAACAUUAACACAAAAACUCUUUAUCUCAAAGGUACUUUAACUAAAUUUGUAAUGCGAUAAACAUACCAUAAAGAUCAGCAUGUGUAUUCCAGCUAUAAUAAACUGAAAGCAUGCAUGGUAUGAACUAGAGUUAGUGCAAUUUAACAUGAAGCUUGCUCGUGCAAAAUUAUUUUAUAUAGCAUUUGCAGUUUCAAUUUCCAAUUCCAAGGUUCUGAUUCCAUGCUCCCAAACACAGCAAUAAAUGUAAAUCCAAUUACACAUCUUCUUGGAACAACUUUUUGUGAAAUAAGUGUCAAUUUUUUUUUUUUGAAUAUUCAUUCUGAAAACACAUUAGACACGGAAUUAGAAAGCAGUUUAACUGCUUUCCAGAAACAAUAUUUGCUCUGCCAAAAGAAAAAAAAAAAAACUACUUCACAUUGACUCACCAAUCCACUCCUCCACUUUUAAUUAUAAAUUCCACAAUAAUCAAUAAUCAUCAGCACUAGCAGGAAAAUUACAUUACACGUUCAAAUUAUCAACGUAUUAACACUAACAAAUCUAUUGUAUUUUAAUCCAUUAAUCAAACUCAAAACCCAAUCAGCAACUCACAUAACAAAGAUUCCCAAGCAAAUUAAAACCCAAUGAAUGCCAAAUUCGAUUGUACGCAAGCCUUAGAAAAUAAUUAUUGUACGCAAUCAAAUUAAAACCCAAUCAGCAACUCACAUAACAAAGAUGGAGCUGAGAGAGCAAAAACAGUCAAGCUAGUUGGAUGGAGCAGCAGUGGUUGCAGCGAGAUGGCGGCUGGGCAAGUGACAGAUCCGGGAGAGCAAAGACGGAGCAGCAACGGCUGGGCUGAGACGAGAGAGAAAGAUGUUGCAACUGAGAAAGUGCAGAUUUGAGAGUGCAGAUUUGCUGGGCAGUGGAUGAAGAUAAGGGGAGGGAGGGAGUGCAGAUUUGCUGCAACUGGAUCAAGAAAGGUGAGGGGAAAGAGAGAACGGCAGUGAAGAGAAAAGGAGGAGGAGGGUCACGAUUUUCUUUUGUUUUUUAAUUCAUUUUUAGGUUUAAUUUGUAAUAUUUGCAGAACAUGUUUAAGUUGUUUUCAAUUGAUUAGUAAUAAUAAUGAAUCCGGAUUUUUUGUUUUGUAAUUUAUUUUUUUUAAAUUAACUCACC